Acanthosepion pharaonis is the source of this 108-nucleotide non-coding RNA. The record is from the annotation of a GenBank genome assembly. NCBI's taxonomy places the organism in Eukaryota, Metazoa, Mollusca, Cephalopoda, Sepiida, Sepiidae.
AGCCACAUCACGUUCAAACACUGGUCCCCGUACGAUCACCGAAGUUAAGCAACGUCGAGCCUGAUCACUACCUAGAUGGAUUACUGCUUGGGAAUACCAGGUUCUGUA